RNAcentral lists this ribosomal RNA (577 nucleotides) under uncultured bacterium. Its description in RNAcentral is "bacterial SSU rRNA". It matches the Rfam family "Bacterial small subunit ribosomal RNA", at positions 102 to 683 of the family's 1533-position model. The record is from RNAcentral.
ACGGGUGAGUAAUACGUAGGAACUUGCCCUUUAGAGUAGGAUAACCGAGGGAAACUUUGGCUAAUACUGCAUAAACUCGAGAGAGGAAAGCUGGCCCGCAAGGGUUGGCGCUAGAGGAGAGGCCUGCGGCCAAUUAUGCUGGUUGGUGUGGUAAAGGCGCACCAAGGCUAAGAUUGGUAACUGGUCUGAGAGGACGACCAGUCACACUGGGACUGAGACACGGCCCAGACUCCUACGGGAGGCAGCAGUGGGGAAUCUUGGACAAUGGGGGAAACCCUGAUCCAGCGAUGCCGCGUGGGUGAAGAAGGCCUUCGGGUUGUAAAGCCCUUUAGGUUGGGAAGAAGCUUAGUCGAGAGAUUAAGUUGACGGUACCGACAAAAUAAGCACCGGCAAACUCUGUGCCAGCAGCCGCGGUAAUACAGAGGGUGCGAGCGUUAAUCGGAGUAACUGGGCGUAAAGGGCGCGUAGGCGGAUAUUGCAAUGUGAUGUGAAAUCCCUGGGCUUAACCUAGGAAGUGCAUUGCAGACGCAGUAUCUGGAGUAUAAGAGAGGGUGGCGGAAUUUCCGGUGUAGCGGUG